CAUACAUCUAUUCAUUUCCAUCUCUAAUUCACCCAAAAUUAUUCUACUCCUAUCCGGGAGAGAAUAGCCAAAAACAUUAUCCUAUCCCUGUUAUUCCCCAUGAAAUAAAUGCUCUUGAUAUUUUGGUUACUACCACUUGCUACAUUAUUCUAGGAGGGUGAGUGCUCUAAAAAAGAGAGAGAGAGAGAGAAGAGAAAAAUACGAGGAAAUAAAAAGGGGCAAGUGCCCGGAACCUCGAAAGAAAAGAAAAAGUGAGACGAGAGGUAAAAAUGGACAAGUGUCCGAUAGUAGAAUUAGGGGUACAAGAUACCCACCUGAGAGAAAAGAAAAAGAAAAUAUAGAGCAUCUCAUUCCCCUAAAAAAUCUUCAAAGUGCAAGUAAGGUAUGUAUCCCCUCAAAAGAGCAAACAUAGAAUUAGACUUUCACCAUUGUUUUCAUCAUUAUCACCAUUAUCACCAUACACCAUUCAUUCGCCACACAUGCACAUCUUGAUUUGACUUAUUGACUUGUUUCUCUGGAUCCAUAGUUUGACUAUGCAAUAAAUGUCUUGUAAGUAUGUAUUAGCUGUCUCCCACCUAUGAGUUCUAGAUAUCAAAACCUUGUUAGAGUAGGG
Molecule: long non-coding RNA, 613 nt
Filed under: Sorghum bicolor (sorghum)
Lineage: Eukaryota; Viridiplantae; Streptophyta; Magnoliopsida; Poales; Poaceae
Description: long non-coding RNA (SBIC_LNC012610)
Source: RNAcentral